This is a long non-coding RNA of Juglans microcarpa x Juglans regia, 298 nucleotides long. RefSeq lists it as uncharacterized. The record is from RefSeq and is a predicted model, not a curated record. The transcript is spliced from 3 exons. Lineage: Eukaryota; Viridiplantae; Streptophyta; Magnoliopsida; Fagales; Juglandaceae.
UACCUUCUAAAUGAAGCCUUUUUGUUUUAAACUGUAGUUUGCAGCAGACUGUUUCACAUUCUUGAUACAAGAAACUAAAAACUGCUGCAUGAGAAUGUCCUCAUCAUCACUGUCUUAUUCACCGUUAGCGAAACCAUCGUGCUUCUGUAAUAUUAAAACUACAUUGAGAUAUUCAAAUACUAAAAGAAAUCCAGGACGACCCUUCUUAGGGUGUCCAAAGUACAACACAAAGGGAUUACCAUAUUGCAAAUAUUUCAAGUGGGUUGAUAGUAAUCAACACACAGACUCGGAUCUACAA